Long non-coding RNA from Humulus lupulus (European hop), 570 nucleotides. RefSeq lists it as uncharacterized. Lineage: Eukaryota; Viridiplantae; Streptophyta; Magnoliopsida; Rosales; Cannabaceae. The transcript has 3 exons. The record is from RefSeq and is a predicted model, not a curated record.
AGAGUAGGGGUAUAUUCUAUUAGUAAUAAUGUUAAAAGUAAAGUAAUUUGAUUUAUAUGUUAGGUAUGUUUUUUUAUCUCUGGUGAGCUUCGAUUGGGUGAUUUUUGGGAAUGGAAAAUUGCUUGACUUGAUAGAAAGAAAGAACGAAAGAUGGUUGAAUCAGAUCUUCCUCUUGCCAUGAACUUGGUCUACCUUACUAUCUUAUUGGCUUGUUCUUGUGUUGUUGUGAGCAAGUUCAUAGCUUCCAAGUUUCCAGGAUCAGCCCAUGUGCUUGAAAGAACUGGUUCCUUCUUUGCUCUAACAAGUUUCUUCAUGGCCAUAACAAUUCCUUUUAGUUUUCCCCUCAAAUUAUUUUCUUGGAUGCUCUAUGUUGUUUGCUUACUUGUCAUUGUACGUUUCAGUUGAUUCUGUAACUAUGGGAUAUUGUAAUUUUUCUUUUGUGCUCGUUAAUGUUAUUCUAGUUUUGGAGUUGUAUCAGAAGAAGUGUUGUAAAUUUGAUUAGAUGAUAUGUGCAUACAUGUAAAUUUAGUAUUUGAUUUGAUAUAUGCAAUUAUAAGUUUGGUCAUAUAA